UCAGAGUAAUUAAAAAUAAUUUAAUUAGUUAAUAUUUUGAAUUUUUUUUUUGAUUGAUAAAAAUAAUUUAGUUAAUAUUUCAUAAUUAUUAAAAAUAUUUUUAUAGGAAUUAAAGGUUAAUCGUUAAAGAAUAUAUCUAAUUUUUUAAGAGAUUAAUUGAAUUAAUAAUUUAUAAAAAUUAAAAUUAUACUUGUUUAAUAAAAUUUUUUUAAAUUAAAAAUUUAAAGGGAUAAGCUUUUAAAUUUUUUUAUAUAAUUAAUUUAAUUUUAUAAAUAAUAGAAUUAAUAUUUUUCAUUUAUUAUUAUAUUUUUAUUAAAAAUUAUUAAAUUUAAUAAAUUUUAAAUUAAUUAUUAAUUAAUUUAUUAAAAAAUUAAUUUUAAUUUAUUAAAUUAAGAUAAAAUGAUUAAAUUAGUAUAAAAAGAUUUAUUUAAUAGAAAUUAAUUAAAUUUAUUUAAAAUGAAUUCGGCAAAAUAAUUUUUACCUGUUUAUCAAAAACAUGUCUGUUUGUAAAAGAAUAAAUAGUCAAAUCUGCCCAUUGAAAUUUUAAAGGCUGCAGUAAAUUGACUGUACAAAGGUAGCAUAAUCAUUAGUUUUUUAAUUGAAAACUUGUAUGAAUGAUUUAAUAAAAAAUUAACUUUAUUUUGAAUAUUUUUAAAAUUUUUUAUUUAAGUGAAAAAACUUAAAUUUAUAAAAAAGACAAUAAGACCCUAUAAAACUUUAUUUAUUAAAUUAUUUAUAAUUAAUUAAAUUUAAUUGGGGAAAUUUUUAAAUAUAAUUAAUUUUAAAUAAAAUAAUUUUUUUAAAAAAAUAUAAUGAUCUUUUAUUAAAAGAUUGAUGAAUUAGUUGCUUUAGGGAUAACAGCGUUAUAGCUUAUUAUAGUUCUUAUUUAAUAA
RNAcentral lists this ribosomal RNA (893 nucleotides) under Halictophagus sp. 3 DPM-2011. RNAcentral describes it as "partial 16S large subunit ribosomal RNA". The record is from RNAcentral. Lineage: Eukaryota; Metazoa; Arthropoda; Insecta; Strepsiptera; Halictophagidae.